GAAGUGAUGUAACAGAAUUUUUGUUCGUUAUUAAAUGGCCGCGUUGCGUUGUGACUGUUGUCCGAUCUGAGUAUUACGGCCUCUCGUGUUGAAUUCCAAGCUGGGGGAAGGAUGAAACGAAAAGUGGUUAAACUGAAAAGUCUUCGUCUUAGUCCAAAUGAAGAGGCAGUUUUGAUACAAGAAGAGCAUGAGAGAAGACGAAGGUUAAGAAUAAAGCAGGUCAGAGAGCAGGAGCGUUCUAUUGCUGUUCAGAUCCGAGAGGAGAUAAAACAUCGUCGUAAUCAACAGCUUGAGCAACUAGCAAUUGAGUUGAAGGCUGAAUGGCAGAUGGCACAAAUGGAGAAAGCACAGCUUCUAGAGAGGCUUUAUGUCUCUAGUUUGAAGGCAGUGGGUGAAGGACAUAGACAAGCGAAAGAAAAUGAACCAGAUUUGAAAGCUUGCUCAAAACUGGCAGCUGUCAACAGAGAAAAAGCUGAGAAAAGGCAUAGAGAAGCACUGAGGGAGUUGAAUCAGCAAAAGAAUAAAGAUCAUGAAGUUCAAAAUAGGUAUGUCAAAACACGCAAAAAAGCACUACUCAUAGAGAAAAAAAGAGCAUUAAAGAUUGCACGUCUUCCGCCACCUCCACCAAACCCCUUUGCAGAUCUUGAAGUGCAAAACUAUCCAGCAGUGAAGAUGUAUGAUAUUGACAGCUUCUCUGUGACACGCUACCAUUUGUCUGAACCUUGUGUGGACCGAGAAAGUGAUACACAACAGCUUAGUGCUGAACUGACUGCUCAAGAGGAAGCAGAGCGCUUGGAGGAUUUGCAACAAGAAGCUGAGGUGGACCGCCUGGAGCAGUUGGAGAAAGCUAGAUUGCGAGGCAACCGUGCUCUCCAACUAGUGCAUUUAAUACAGGAUAGAGAGAAACUGGUGAAGGAACUUGGAGAAAUGCAACAAGCUGAUCUGGCCCGUAGAAGGCAUACUGUAGCUCAGAUGCCACCCCGAUUGUUUGAGCCACCGUAUAGAUAUGUGCAAGUAAAAGAGGAUCGGCAGAGGGAGAUGGAAUUUGCUUUUGAGGAUAUGUAUGCUGAUGAUAAAAAAGUCAGAGGUGACUUAAUACUGCAACUUGAGCAUGAACCUUUACCAGCCUCAACCAACGGAGCACAAGGUGAAGAUUUGGACCUCUCAGUAGAGCCAGAUGGCUUUCAAAAGGAAGAGCAAUGUGAAAGUGCUACCCAGGAAGAUCCAUCAACACUACACUUGCGUAAUAUCCAAGAUCUACAGUUGGUAGCAGCCACUCAGCCCUCUGCAUGCCCAACUAAGGCAGCCUUGGAGAAACUGUUUACCAAGAUAAAGAUACAGAGAGACUCUUGUUCCAAACCUGAACCGAAGUAUAUAAACAAAGAUAUGACCAUUGAGUCUGGUUCAAUUACCAGUGAAAAAAAUGAUCAAAGAACUUUGACAAAACCCACAGCUGACAAUUUAAGUGAAGAACAUCUAGAAAUAUUGCCAGUGCUGAUUCAAGCCAAUAAACAGCAAAACAAAGUACCUGAAGAUGCCAUAAAGGCUGGAAGUGCAACAUUGAGUCAUCCAAAAGAACAAGCAAGUGGAACUAGAUCUGAAAUAGACAGAAGGAAACAAUUGCAGCAUCACAAGCACUUUCUGUCAAAUGUGCCAUCCGCAGACAAUGAACGUAUGGGUAUGAUUCAUCGGUAUCAGCAGCACCUUAUUGAACAAAACAGGUUGCAUGAAACUUCACUGGAAGAAAUCAGGAAGCAACUGGAUGAGUACCAGUUGAAACAAGGAUGGCCUUUUGUUUCUACUACAGCAAGACACUUGGCCGAACAGCAGUUGCCAUCUCAGAUGAACCAUUACAACAAAUCCAGUGGAUCCGAAGUCUGGGUUGAUGUGACGAGAUUUAAGCCUGGAGAGACUUGUGUCCUUUCUGCUCAAUAUCCUAGCUUUGAGAAUCAAUCUAGAGCUCGGUGUCAGAGCCAACCUACAAUUGUACCAUUUGUUCACUUACAACAGACCGAAUUACCAUACAAGAUCACUGGUCAAUCACCACAAGUUAGUCAAGGGACACAUGUGCCAGUUGGCACUAUUUGCUUAUCUGAGGGUUCAGAAAAUGCCUCUGUAUUUUCACUGAGGCACCAAGUUUUAAAAAAUUCUACUUUAUUCAAUGUAGCAUUGCUCAAAACUACCCAGCAAGAUACUGCAACUCCUGAGUCCACAGUUACACAACAAAGAGAUCAGGUGGAUGCUGGAUCAAAUUGUUCUGGAGGUCCUGACAAUGUUAAUUUAAACCAGUCUGCAUAUAAUGUUAGCACUAGUGAAUCUGAUUUUCCAAAAUCUAAAAAAUAUAAUGCGCCUGACAGUGUACUUGAAGUGAAUAGUGUGGAGGUAUCAGAACCUUGUGCUACAACUUCAGGCACAGUUGAGCCACAACAGGACUUGAACACUGGACGAAUCAAGGAGAAUUUCCAAUUAAAAAAGGAAGAUCAGCUGAAAGAUCUAGAGCCAACAGCUCUAUUAAAUGGGACAUCAAAUCCUGUGUUAUCCUAUGAUUCCAAAUCGAUACAAACUGGAAGUUAUUUCUCAGCAUCUCGAAAUGGUGGAGCUCUCACAAGGGAUGAUCAACAUUGGGGAACUUCUAAACCACCUGUAACCAACAGAAGGCUGGGACAUUUUGGACUGUUUGACCAGCACGAAUUAAGUGUAAUCCAGGAAGGAGAAUCCCCUAAAAGUGACAGACAGUCUCUAUUUGAUUUAUCAAGAGUAUCAACAAGCAGCUGCCGUCAAAUGUCAAGUAUUGCAAGUAGCACUGUAGACUCCAUUCCAACGAGCAGACUGACUUGGAGAGACAAACUGAAAUUGGAGACUAGCCAUCUCCCAGGACAAGGUUUCACUCAUGUUGAAAGCACUACGCUUGAGUUUGCUGGCCCAACAUGUUGUGCAGCUAGUAAGGUAUUAUUUCCUUAUUCUUGCUCUGGUGACAUUAAAAAAACUCCUGAGGAAUGUCAACUAUCUUCCACCACGCUAUCCACUGGGAGUUUAACUUCAAGUGAUCCAACGGAUAUUGGUCCUCUCAGUUCAGGUGAUCAUUCCUCCACUGCUCAUGAUAUCAUGACUGGACAGUCAACUCCUCCCUCGACGACUUCACCUUCAUUCUCUGUGAACAAGGACACAGCUGAAAAUCAAGACAUUGAACAUUGUGGUCCCAGUUUAGAGGAAUGCAUUUCAACAGGAAGAAAAAUUCAGCAGGUAGUAGAGAAGUAUACUAGAAACCUAAACCAUUUGCUUAAUUCGAGUGGAAAGAAUCAGGACCCUGCAACUGUUCAUCAUACUUCCAUCCGAGGAGUUCCUAAUUUCCACGUUGAGCUACAGUCUUCCCAACCAGAUUCAGAUCUAGAAUUUCAGCCUUUGGAGACCAGACCUGAUUUUGGUGUUUCAAGUACUUCAUUGUCUUCUACCUCUAACAAGAAUUCAAAUGCCCUUGAUACUGAUAGCAACACACACAAUCAACAUUCUAAUCCAGGCGUCAAUCAAGUCCAGGCACCAAUCAAGUUCUUCACCGACAGUAUUGAAUCCACUCCUGACCAUGGAAGUGGAGUUUGCAAUACAAGUCAAAGGAACAAGUACAUUCAGCAAGAUUAUGAUUUUGAAUAUGGUAGGUUGAAAACUUUUCAAUCACUUCGACUGGAAAUUAGUUCAAACAAAUACAGUUUAGACACUGGUUCCAGAGAAAAUGUCAUGUGCAACAGACUUUCAGAACAAGGAUUUAAUAAUGGUGCCUCCUCAAUUAACUGCGUACAUCUUCCUCCAUUGGAUCUUAUAAGACCAGAAACAGUAGCUCCUGCUUCACAGAUUCUUGAAUCCAUAGACCAGUUGAUUUGUUCUGAUUCAUUGACUGAAAAUUUACAAGGACAUGUAAGAGAAAAUACUCAGGAAUGUUUCUCGCAGCUACAUGCAACGCAAAGUUCAGAAAAUGAUCACAACUGUGACACUUCUGAUCAAAAUGGAAAAUAUCUAGAGGUUUGUGGAAGCAUAACUUCACAUGCUGUCGCUUUUACCAAGCUUAUAAAAUCCAAAAAGGUAAAUGAAGUGAAUUUGAAUGAUCAAUCUACUGAACUCUGUAAUGUAAUAUCAUCAAGGAGAAAGAAUUGCAUUGGAAGUGAAGUGCCCCAUUUCUCAGAGCAGAAUCACAUAGUGCCAUCUGGUCAGUUAUCUCACGCAAAAACUCAAAUUGCUGCCAGACUUGAGUUUGAGACUGAACAGGAUCAGCCACUGUCAUCAAACCUUAUAUCAGAAGUUUUCACAUUGCAGAGUAUUAUACCAGCAAGGGAAAUUGGAUCAAAUCUUGGGAUUAUGGAAGAACCUGAACUCUCUCAACUGUCAAUGAAUAAUUCAACUUUAAUAGAUGAAGAACUAAGACAGGAUUCUCCAAUAGAAGACAUAACAUGUCAGAAUGAAUUCCAAACAUUUACUCGGGCAAAUGAGUUGCAGCCUUCGAAGCUUAAAACCACAGAUCAUGCAAUUUCUACCUCGCAUCACUUAGGAGUUGCAGACCACAAAAUAAAUCACACAGCAUCUUCAUUUCAAAAGUCUCCAACAGCUAUGGUAUUUCAGUUUGACUCACCUCCUAAGAUUUUGAAUGAAGUAGUUCUGAAGAAAAAACAUAAAUUUCUUGUAAAUUCUGCAAAACGAGUGGAGGAUAUGAAAAGAAAAGGAAGAUCUGGAAAAGCUAAUUCUGAACUGCUGGGAAAAAAAAAGUCAUUGAAACAAGAACAACUCUCUGUGUUUGCAGCAUCGCCUGUAGCAGCUCACUUGAAGGCGGUUGGGCAAGUGAAAGUCUCUACUCCUGAAGAUAGAAGAUCUGCUGAAGUAGAGAUGCGAAAAAGAACAUUCUGAUAUUUUUGUCAGCAUCCUGUUCCUUUGUAAACACAAGAAUACGUAUUCAAGUGAACCAGUCUUGCUGCCUGACUCUAAGCAUGUGUUAUGCUCCUAGACGUGUAUUUGUUUCUAUUAGAUGGUGCAAUAACUUUUUACCCACUUACUGUUUACCUGCUAUUGAAAGAUGUUUGGGUUCCCUCUUUUCUGUUAACACCGUGUUCUCUUUUUUUCUCUUUGCCCAUCAUAUUUUCUUCUUCAUCUCUCCUCUGAACUUAAUUUAUUUGGCCUGAUUUUCACUGAAAGAAGUCAUCUGAUGUCCAUCGUGCACUUUAGUUUUUGAUUUCAUCAUCUCUCUCCCUCAACCAAAGUCGGGCUUCUUUGAUAACUUGCCUUUGUUUGGAAUGCACUCAACCCAACUUUUCCAUGUCAAUUUGUUUCCUGGUAAUAUCUGCUUUUUUUCUAGUUUGAAGUUUGCCUUAUCCAAUUUAGACAUUCUUAAUUACUUUUUUUUCCUGCAGAAUGAUUAUUGUUACCCACAUUUUUCCCCACAGACUCGUAGUCCACUUGGCCCUGCUCAAUUCUCUGCACGAGAUCUAGCAAUGCUUGCUUUCUGUUUGGAUAGAGAAUGUGCCUAUUGAAGAUGCUCUCCUAAAUGUAUUUCAGUAUCCUAAUCAAUACUUAAGUAACUAAUGUCCGCUUGUAGUGCCUCUGCAUAGUUCUUGCACGUCUGAUUUUCCUGCAGAUUUGCUGAUCAUUUUCAUUCUUUUUAGAGACCUAUAAAAUAUCCCCAAUUAAAAUACAACGGUGUCCUCUCAAAUUCCUUCUGAAACCCCAAUGGCAUGUAGUCAGCCUGACCUUAUUCACGAUCAUCUUUCAUAUGAUGCUGCUGUAGGCAAUGACCUUAUAGACUUUAAGGAGGGAUUCACAUACACUUCUGAACUGAUGGAGGGCUUUUCAGCUUCAUACAAAGACACAGAAAAACUCAUUCAUUAACAACUUUUUGCCAGUGCUUGUGCUCAUCCAGUGUAGCAUGCUUUCCAAACUGACUGCUUAGGACUAAAAAGCAGUUUCAUGAAAACUGAAUUCCUACAUCAUCCUGCGCUCCAAGAACAUAAACCACCAAACAUUGUCCUCAAGGGACCAAAGUUGAAUGCUGUCAACUAAUUUUAUUUGUUUGGGGAGUGUUUGUUUGAGGGGUGUCAUCUCAUUUGAUGCUACCUUGGAUAAGGACGUGGACAAUAGGCUUUCUAAAGCAAAGGCACAUUUUGAAGACUUUAUAAAUGUGCACGGAGCAUCCAUGUUUUCAGCACAAAUCAUACAAAGCCAUACUUCUCACCACCCUUCUGUAUUUUGCUGCGAUUGGUUCCUGUACCAAGAAUACGCUCACUUUCUGGAACACUUCCAUCAGCCUUGCCUCCACAGUAUCCUCAGUAUCUGCUGGCAGGACUGUAACAAAGUCAUUAAAAUCCUGGAAACCGCCAACAUCCUAACCACCUGGGGCAAUCAUUGUGUCUACUGCCAACUUGAUGAGGUGAACAACAGGAAAAAAGAAGUGACCAGACAAAUAGUGUGUGCCAAAAAUCGUGAAAAAGCAAAAGAAUUCCAAAAG
Molecule: RNA transcript, 6481 nt
Organism: Stegostoma tigrinum
Lineage: Eukaryota; Metazoa; Chordata; Chondrichthyes; Orectolobiformes; Stegostomatidae
Gene: cep295
Gene name: centrosomal protein 295
Exons: 28
Source: RefSeq, a predicted model, not a curated record